This 30-nucleotide transfer RNA is filed under the name Callisaurus draconoides crinitus. RNAcentral's name for it is "partial tRNA-Thr". The record is from RNAcentral. Lineage: Eukaryota; Metazoa; Chordata; Lepidosauria; Squamata; Phrynosomatidae.
ACCUCUGUAGCUUAAACACCUAAAGCAUUG